RNAcentral lists this ribosomal RNA (1034 nucleotides) under Aposphaeria corallinolutea. RNAcentral's name for it is "SSU rRNA". It matches the Rfam family "Eukaryotic small subunit ribosomal RNA", at positions 71 to 1111 of the family's 1831-position model. Lineage: Eukaryota; Fungi; Ascomycota; Dothideomycetes; Pleosporales; Lophiostomataceae. The record is from RNAcentral.
GCAUUAUACCGUGAAACUGCGAAUGGCUCAUAAAUCAGUAUCGUUUAUUUGAUAGUACCUUACCACCUUCGAUAACCGUGGUAAUUCUAGAGCUAAUACAUGCUAAAAACCCCGGACCUUCGGAAGGGGUGUGUUUAUUAGAUAAAAAACCAAUGCCCUUUCGGGGCUCUUUGGUGAUUCAUGAUAACCUAACGGAUCGCAUGGCCUUGCGCCGGCGACGGUUCAUUCAAAUUUCUGCCCUAUCAACUUUCGAUGGUAAGGUAUUGGCUUACCAUGGUUUCAACGGGUAACGGGGAAUUAGGGUUCGAUUCCGGAGAGGGAGCCUGAGAAACGGCUACCACAUCCAAGGAAGGCAGCAGGCGCGCAAAUUACCCAAUCCCGACACGGGGAGGUAGUGACAAUAAAUACUGAUAUAGGGCUCUUUUGGGUCUUGUAAUUGGAAUGAGUACAAUUUAAACCCCUUAACGAGGAACAAUUGGAGGGCAAGUCUGGUGCCAGCAGCCGCGGUAAUUCCAGCUCCAAUAGCGUAUAUUAAAGUUGUUGCAGUUAAAAAGCUCGUAGUUGAAACUUGGGUCUGGCUAGCGGGUCCGCCUCACCGCGUGCACUUGUCCGGCUGGACCUUUCCUUCUGGAGAACCUCAUGCCCUUCACUGGGUGUGUUGGGGAACCAGGACUUUUACUUUGAAAAAAUUAGAGUGUUCAAAGCAGGCCUUUGCUCGAAUACGUUAGCAUGGAAUAAUAGAAUAGGACGUGCGGUCCUAUUUUGUUGGUUUCUAGGAUCGCCGUAAUGAUUAAUAGGGAUAGUCGGGGGCAUCAGUAUUCAAUUGUCAGAGGUGAAAUUCUUGGAUUUAUUGAAGACUAACUACUGCGAAAGCAUUUGCCAAGGAUGUUUUCAUUAAUCAGUGAACGAAAGUUAGGGGAUCGAAGACGAUCAGAUACCGUCGUAGUCUUAACCGUAAACUAUGCCGACUAGGGAUCGGGCGAUGUUUCUAUCUUGACUCGCUCGGCACCUUACGAGAAAUCAAAGUUUUUGGG